Molecule: long non-coding RNA, 1169 nt
Filed under: Nicotiana benthamiana
Lineage: Eukaryota; Viridiplantae; Streptophyta; Magnoliopsida; Solanales; Solanaceae
Description: long non-coding RNA (NBEN_LNC010678)
Source: RNAcentral
UUACAGUAAAGGGAAAAGAGUCAAUCAACUUUGAACAGGGGAGUGAAAUUAAGGUUUAUAGAGGAAAAGCUUUAGAAAUCAGUCACAACAUAAAUAUCAAUAAAGGAAGAAACUUUAGUAUAUAAAUAGAGUGAACAAGACAUCAGACAUGCGAGGACAGAACCAUUGGCAAAAGAAACAACAUAGAAUAGCAACAAGAAUAAACAUAAAGUUCAGUAGGUAGUCAGGGCUCACACAUACAGCCAAAGCAAAGAAGAGAUUCGAAAGCGAGAAAAAGUCUCAUAGUAACAAGUGAAGAAACCUUUUGAAAAAGUUAGGGUUUCAACAACAGUUGAGUUUAAAGGAUAGUAAAACUCAUAAUCAACUAAGCCUCGUAAAGAAGAGAGCCAGAAAUAAAGAACUUUAAUCGAAUCAAGUGCAUACUCAAAAAAACAGUUCCAGGCAAAGAAGACCUAGGGUUUUCAGCUCGAGUUUAAAAGAUGGUAAACAAAGAAUCCAAACAAGAAUUCAACCAAACAAAUACACAUUUAACAAACAACUUCAAAACUCGAAUGAGUCCUAUAAGAAAUUAGGGGUUUCAACAUGCUAACUCAGAUAGAAGAAGAACAAUAUAGCAAAACAUAGCAAAAAUUAUAAAUACGUUAAAAUUAGAGAAGAGAUUUCUUGAAAUAACUUAAAGGAAAACCCUAAUCGGAAAAAAAUAAGAGUCGUUUUGAAAGAAAGUUAAAGAACAUUCGAGAAAUACUUAAGAAAAUCAUAGCAUACAGAUCUAAAGUAGAUCUGAAAGAAAGUUGAAAGAUCUUAAUGAUUUGGGUUUCUAAAAAAUCCAGAAAAGGUGAGAAAGGCCUUGAAAGUUACUGAUCUAACCAGGAGAGUCAAGGAUUUGACUCGAAUGGCCAUGGUUGGCCGGAGAAAGGUCAAGGAUGGCCUGAGAAGAGCCACAAACUGAAAUCGAACAAGGACUGGACCAGACUACUUCAAGGUCUGGCCGUGAAACCGUAAGAACAAAUACAUAGAAGCCAUGAAAGGCUGGUACAAGUCUCGAAUGACCACGGAAGGCCAUGAAUUAGGUAGGUAUUAGGGUGGAUUAGGGUGUGGUGAGAGGGCGGUGGCUAAGGAUCAUGAGAGUUUCAGAGAGAUUUGAGAGAUAAGGGGAAUUCAAGGGCGGC